This 21-nucleotide unclassified non-coding RNA is filed under the name Mus musculus (house mouse). RNAcentral describes it as "oocyte_clustered_small_RNA8912". The record is from RNAcentral. Lineage: Eukaryota; Metazoa; Chordata; Mammalia; Rodentia; Muridae.
UUGAGGUCUUGUCCUGCGAUG